GAGCUCUCUGGUGCAGGAGAGCUUCGAGGAGCUGGAGAGGCAGCGGGAGCUGAUCACGAGCUGCACUCUUCUGUGGAAGGAGCUCUCCGACCACUUCUCCUCCAUGGAGCGCGACCUCCAGCUCAGGUCCGAGUCUCUCCGAUCCAAGCGCCAGUCCCUCGACCUCUCCACCCAGAGCUCCCUCGCCUCCCUCCACCGCCGCGAGCUCUCCAUCGACGGCGCCGUCGACCUCGCCCUCGCCAAGGUCGAGGAGCGCUGCGACGCAGCUCUCCUCGCGCUCUCCUCCCCCGCUUCCCCCGUCGACAACAACAACGACACCAACGAUCUCCCCGGCAAGCUCAGAUCUUUCUGCACCAGGAUGGACUCCGACGCCGUCUGGGACCUCGUCGUCUCCAAGCGGAAGGAGGUCGAGCUUCUCCGCUCUGAGCUCCCCCUGGCCCUCGCCGACUGCAUCGAUCCCGCCAAAUUCG
Molecule: long non-coding RNA, 470 nt
Filed under: Phoenix dactylifera (date palm)
Lineage: Eukaryota; Viridiplantae; Streptophyta; Magnoliopsida; Arecales; Arecaceae
Description: long non-coding RNA (PDAC_LNC002865)
Source: RNAcentral